RNAcentral lists this transfer RNA (77 nucleotides) under Pseudomonas syringae pv. actinidiae. RNAcentral's name for it is "tRNA-Val". It matches the Rfam family "tRNA". From Rfam's summary of the family: Transfer RNA (tRNA) molecules are approximately 80 nucleotides in length. Lineage: Bacteria; Pseudomonadati; Pseudomonadota; Gammaproteobacteria; Pseudomonadales; Pseudomonadaceae. The record is from RNAcentral.
AGGCACGUAGCUCAGUUGGUUAGAGCACCACCUUGACAUGGUGGGGGUCGUUGGGUCGAGUCCAAUCGCGCCUACCA